This 400-nucleotide ribosomal RNA is filed under the name uncultured bacterium. RNAcentral describes it as "bacterial SSU rRNA". It matches the Rfam family "Bacterial small subunit ribosomal RNA", at positions 355 to 772 of the family's 1533-position model. The record is from RNAcentral.
UGGGGAAUCUUGCACAAUGGGCGAAAGCCUGAUGCAGCAACGCCGCGUGCGGGAAGAAGGCCUUAGGGUUGUAAACCGCUUUCAGCAGGGAAGAAAAUGACGGUACCUGCAGAAGAAGGUGCGGCCAACUACGUGCCAGCAGCCGCGGUAAUACGUAGGGCGCGAGCGUUGUCCGGAAUUAUUGGGCGUAAAGAGCUCGUAGGCGGUCUGUCGCGUCGGAUGUGAAAGCCCGGGGCUUAACCCCGGGUCUGCAUUCGAUACGGGCAGACUAGAGUGUGGUAGGGGAGAUCGGAAUUCCUGGUGUAGCGGUGAAAUGCGCAGAUAUCAGGAGGAACACCGGUGGCGAAGGCGGCAUCCUGGACCGACAUUGACGCUGAGGAGCGAAAGCUAGGGGAGCAAA